GACGAACGCUGGCGGCGUGCUUAACACAUGCAAGUCGAGCGGUAAGGCCCUUUCGGGGGUACGACGAGCGGCGAACGGGUGGAGUAACACGUGGGUGGACCUGCCCUCCAGCUCUGGGAGUAAGCCUCGGGAAACCGGGGUACGUAAUAACUGGAGUAUGACUCCAUGACGCAUGUUGGUGGGGUGGAAAGCCCUCGUGCGGCUGAGGAUGGGCCCGCGGCCUAUCAGCUUGUUGGUGGGGUGAGGCCUACCAAGGCGACGACGGGUAGCCGGCCUGAGAGGGCGACCGG
RNAcentral lists this ribosomal RNA (290 nucleotides) under uncultured bacterium. RNAcentral's name for it is "partial 16S ribosomal RNA". It matches the Rfam family "Bacterial small subunit ribosomal RNA", at positions 28 to 307 of the family's 1533-position model. The record is from RNAcentral.